CAAUAGCGUAUAUUUAAGUUGUUGCAGUUAAUAAGCUCGUAGUUGGAUUUCGGGUGUGAACGACCGGUCCGUCUUUGAUGUGUACUGGUUGGUUGCGCCUUAUUGUCGAGGACGUGGUUCUAGCUUUCAUUAGCCGGGACACGGAGUCGGCAGCGUUACUUUGAGAAAAUUAGAGUGUUCAAAGCAGGCUAUCGCUCUGAAUACUACAGCAUGGAAUAACACGAUAGGACUCCGAGCCUAUUCUGUUGGUCUUCGGGACCGGAGUAAUGAUUAAGAGGGACAGUUGGGGGCAUUCGUAUUCCGAUGUCAGAGGUGAAAUUCUUGGAUUAUCGGAAGACGAACAUCUGCGAAAGCAUUUGCCAAGGAUGUUUUCAUUGA
RNAcentral lists this ribosomal RNA (378 nucleotides) under uncultured eukaryote. RNAcentral describes it as "partial 18S ribosomal RNA". It matches the Rfam family "Eukaryotic small subunit ribosomal RNA", at positions 592 to 976 of the family's 1831-position model. The record is from RNAcentral.